This 253-nucleotide ribosomal RNA is filed under the name uncultured bacterium. Its description in RNAcentral is "partial 16S ribosomal RNA". It matches the Rfam family "Bacterial small subunit ribosomal RNA", at positions 524 to 776 of the family's 1533-position model. The record is from RNAcentral.
UACGUAGGGCGCAAGCGUUAUCCGGAAUUAUUGGGCGUAAAGAGCUCGUAGGCGGUUUGUCGCGUCUGCCGUGAAAGUCCGGGGCUCAACUCCGGAUCUGCGGUGGGUACGGGCAGACUAGAGUGAUGUAGGGGAGACUGGAAUUCCUGGUGUGGCGGUGAAAUGCGCAGAUAUCAGGAGGAACACCGGUGGCGAAGGCGGGUCUCUGGGCCGAUACUGACGCUGAGGAGCGAAAGCGUGGGGAGCAAACAGG